Chionomys nivalis (European snow vole) is the source of this 959-nucleotide long non-coding RNA. RefSeq lists it as uncharacterized. The record is from RefSeq and is a predicted model, not a curated record. NCBI's taxonomy places the organism in Eukaryota, Metazoa, Chordata, Mammalia, Rodentia, Cricetidae. The transcript has 3 exons.
CCGAUGGGAACGCCUCGCCUCCGGCUCCGCCCUCACCUCAACAGCUGCCCCACGGACGCAGACCUGCGCCGGAGGAGGACCGUUCCAGGAGCUGGAAACAAUUAAUGAUCAAAUGAAAGCCCUGGCCUCCAGUUCACUUCGGGGAAUGCCUUUCUCCCAAGCUUCUACUUCAGUGCUGUGGAUGUGUCUGUUUGGAGGUCUAAUUUGUUUAAUAUAGCAUAGCCUGGUUGGGAGUUCUGGAACCCAGUGUCCCAGGAGUUCUGUGGGAGAGUUGGCCUGCAACUGGUGAUCAGCCCAUCAAGCUUCAUCUCCCAGUGUUUCCAACAAUGCCAACUAUCGGGUGGCCACUAGGGGGAAGCAGACGCCUUUGCAAGGCCCUUUCUACACUUCUGACAGGUCUCAGAUCUGCUCACCUCCACUCAUGUUGCAACCUAUUCUACCCUACCCCAAACCUAGACCUGCCCUUCCUCUUUCCCAGGAAUCACCAACUGAGGUUCUUUCGUUCUGUGUAAAUUGCCUGAGAAUAUCCGCCCAGGGCUCCUUUUCUUAAAAUAAUUAAAUUUAUGGAGGUAGAUGGAAUUGUCCCUUUCCUCCCCACCUCUUGCUUUCCAAAACCUGUUAUAGCCAGUCUAACUCCGGCAGAGAAUACUCACACAGUUAAAAUGUUACCCACGUCUGCCAGCCCCACCAUCUGAAGGAUUGAAGCUAGUUCAGACCUGAGCCACUCGGCCUAGAAAAGGGCUGCCUCCACAGGACGCUCCACAGCUGAGGACUAACUAGCUUUAGCAACUCCAAAUCUGCCCCAUUGUCCUACCAGGAGCCUGGAAAUGCAGGAGCACUCAACCAUUUUCGGGUGUGCAAAAAUAGGAAAAGCCCAGCGAGUGACACUGCCUACAGGACCUGUUAGCAGCCUGUGCUACCUCCAUGUGCUGCCCACGUGCCCGUUGUUCUGUGAUCGU